UCGAGAAUCUUCGGCAAUGGGCGAAAGCCUGACCGAGCGACGCCGCGUGCGGGAUGAAGGCCUUCGGGUUGUAAACCGCUGUCGUAGGGGAUGAAAUAUCGGUGGGUUCUCCCAUCGGUUUGACUGAUCCUAGGAGGAAGGGUGGGCUAAGUUCGUGCCAGCAGCCGCGGUAAGACGUACCACCCGAACGUUAUUCGGAAUCACUGGGCUUAAAGAGUCCGUAGGCGGCUUGGAAAGUUGGGUGUGAAAUACCUCGGCUCAACCGAGGAACUGCACUCAAAACUGCCAAGCUCGAGAGAGACAGAGGUGAGCGGAACUGAUGGUGGAGCGGUGAAAUGCGUUGAUAUCAUCAGGAACACCGGUGGCGAAAGCGGCUCACUGGGUCUUUUCUGACGCUGAGGGACGAAAGCUAGGGGAGCGAACG
This 424-nucleotide ribosomal RNA is filed under the name uncultured bacterium. RNAcentral describes it as "bacterial SSU rRNA". It matches the Rfam family "Bacterial small subunit ribosomal RNA", at positions 355 to 774 of the family's 1533-position model. The record is from RNAcentral.